GAACACUCAACGAUUGAUUUAUUUACAUAUCUUGCAAAGCAUAGUUAUUUUCACGAUUCAUACAUUGAUUGUUAUUAAGCAUUAUUCUGUAUUGCGUUCUAAUUAAUCCUUCGAGCAACACACUUUUACAUUUAUAAGUUCAACAAUUCAAUGCUGGUAACCCCAGGGUGUUCCAAACAAAAAUGCACCUGUAUGCUCGACCAAAUCAUGCCCAUAACGCCGCUCUAAGUAAAGGAGAAAAGGAUGCAAUAUUGUGUCGUUGGAGAAGCGAAGAGACAGACAGAGAGAGAGAGAGAGUUUUUAAACCUUUUUCAUAAAGCCUUCACUAUUUGUGCAAGCACCGCAAAAUUUGGCGUACCCAAUCCUGUCACAGGGUCCCACCCAACCGUCGCAUUCCACCCAGCUCUGGGAAUAUACGGCGUAGAUAAACCUGAAGCCCUGGAAAAGCCGGUACAUCCCUCCGAAUAGCCAUCGACAAUGUCAUUCAAACCUGCACCCUUAAGACUGUAGAGGAGCGGAUUGAGAAAUCCAAGGACAGGCUUCCCUUCAGCAAGGCGGAUAGAGUUGAGAAUGGCUACAACUGCUGCGAAUACGGGUGCAGAGGCGCUGUUUGAAUGGUCAGAAAUACUUAUUUUUGCAAGGUUGGCGUUUGGGAAGAGUUGGGAAGCGAAGAGGGGUAGAUAUUGAAAGUCGAAAGAAGGGUAUAAGGAAUAUGAGAAGUUUUAUGUUAGUACAUGAAUUCACGAACCUCGUUCCUGAUGCGUAAGUGGGUUCCCCAUGAUCAACAAUGUGAAAUUGUGCGGACUGUGCUGCCACAUCCGGAAAACCACGACCUGCUGGGUUAUAGAGACCAGCCCAUCGACUGCCUAGUUGACCUAAGUAUGUCGAAACAGCUUCGUCUUGGUACGCCGGGCGGGGAUAUCGAUCAGAAAAUCCUCCCGAGGAAAAGUACGCUGCAGUCUCCGGGUUUACGCCUUGUGUUCCACCAACGGAUGUUAGGAAAGGACAGACAGCUGGAAAAAUGGGGUCGAAUCGGGUUGUGUUUGUGCCAUCGUUAGUUUGGCAAGCACUUCCCGGGCCAGAGUCUCCACUGGAGAAUAACACUGAUACCCCUCGUGCACCUAGCUGAGCGAACAAAUUGCAUGUCGAAUUUGCGUAUUUCUCUGGUACGCUUCGUUCAUUUUCACCGUAUGAAGUGGUAAGAACGGCUGGUAACUCCCCAUCUGGAAGGGAGAGUAAAUAAUGCAAUUGGUCCAAGUAGGGUUCAUUGGUAUUGGCGUUUGUAUCAGGAAGAUCCAGAUCGGGAAUCAUUGGACCGAGCCCACCAGUGGUGUAAUAUACCGUGGUUGCGUUGGAAAGGCCAAGUGUAUAUUGGACAUCCAGACUGGCUUCCAUAGAUGACUUGCUCGAAUUCUGAUGGUUCAAUCCCCCGUUAAUGGAAACCACAUGGAAGGUGGAUCCUUUUAGUUCCGGGACAAACUUUUGAAAGAAAAGAUCCAAAUCACUAUAUCUUGCGUAUUGCUCAAGGUAGCCUGACACUCCAAGCUUAUUGCGAGGGUCUGGGGUAGCAGUGACAUUUCCCAUGUUAUAUAUUUCCCGAAUACAUGAUGGCGCAACAGCAAGGCUACAAUUGACUGGAUAACAAGAAUCAUCAAGCCCCA
Molecule: small RNA, 1661 nt
Filed under: Histoplasma capsulatum
Lineage: Eukaryota; Fungi; Ascomycota; Eurotiomycetes; Onygenales; Ajellomycetaceae
Also listed under: 1 other name
Description: hypothetical RNA
Source: RNAcentral